Molecule: long non-coding RNA, 1106 nt
Filed under: Heterocephalus glaber (naked mole-rat)
Lineage: Eukaryota; Metazoa; Chordata; Mammalia; Rodentia; Bathyergidae
Description: lncRNA (ENSHGLG00100043559.1)
Source: RNAcentral
UGGGUGAGGGGGCGGAGCUGGCAGGGACCCUGGCUUCUGAGGGGACCUUCACAGGUGACCAUGGGGCUACAGCAGUGGACAGCAAGCUUGAGGUGGGACGUGGAAGGAGGGACGGACGGUCCGUGCGCACCUCUGUCCUUUGUCCUUUGACCGAUCUUUUGUAGAUUUAUUUUCUUUUUGCCUUAAAAUUUUUAAUGAAAUGCAAAUUGCCUGUCCAUGAUGAGUCUCUGCGGUCACUAAUAAACUGUGAAUGGAGCCAAGAACGAAGUGAUCUGGUUGAGACUGUGCAGUAUUUCACUUGAAGAAGAGGACUCGUGAGGGCUCAGCCAAAAACGGCAGUGUGUUGUUUUAGAACUUUAGAAACACCCUCACCUAUUUGUUUUUCUUUUUGUUUUGAGUCAGGCUAUCACUUUGUAGUCCAGGCUGGGGCAGGAGGGUCACUGAGAGUUUGAGGCCAGCCUGGGCUAUAUAGCAAGACUCUGUCUCCAAAAAAACAAAAAAUAAGCAUUUUCUUUAGAACUCAGGGUCAUUGGGAAAGUUAUUCCACUUCAAAAAUAUUGAGUGAUAAAGAGGAUUUAUUGGCUUCAAAAAUGUGCAGCUAGCACCUCCCACUGGGUUAAAAACUUUGUGACUGGUUCCCACCAUAUGUGACACUCGUACACCCGACCUGUACACACACCACUUUGUGUAUGUGUGUGUUACUGAGGAUCCAGCCCAAGACCUUCACAGUGAGCCACACCCCUCCCCCUUUGUUGUUAUUUUUUUGAGACAGGCUCACUUCAGUUGCCCAAGCUGGGCUCAAACUUGGGGCCCUCCUGCCUUAGCCUCCCAGUGUGCUCAAUAUGCUCGCUCACAAACUGCUCGGAGUCGUGAGGGGAGAAGCAGCGUGGGUGCUGGGGUGGCAAGUUCCCUUCCUCAGAGAGAGGUCUGCAGGAGCCCAGGGUGGGUUCACUGAGCAUGACCCCCUCUUCCACGCACCCAGAGCGGGUUGUCAUGGCAACAGGAAGCCCUUGUGUAUUAGGCUGGGAGGGUGAACACAUGCCAUGCCCACUGUCCCUGCCCUAAGUGUCGCUUUUCAGAGAAAGUGUCUUUACUGGAAAUAAAAU